Molecule: ribosomal RNA, 490 nt
Filed under: uncultured bacterium
Lineage: Bacteria
Description: bacterial SSU rRNA
Rfam family: Bacterial small subunit ribosomal RNA
Source: RNAcentral
CGUGCCUAAUACAUGCAAGUUGAACGCAACAAAGACACCAGAGCUUGCUCUACCGUCUUUGUUGAGUAGCGAACGGGUGAGUAACGCGUGGGUAACCUGCCUUAUAGCGGGGGAUAACUAUUGGAAACGAUAGCUAAUACCGCAUAACAAUAGAGAUUGCAUAAUCUUUAUUUGAAAGUACCAACUGGUACACUAUGAGAUGGACCCGCGUUGUAUUAGCUAGUUGGUAGUGUAAUGGACUACCAAGGCGAUGAUACAUAGCCGACCUGAGAGGGUGAUCGGCCACAUUGGGACUGAGACACGGCCCAAACUCCUACGGGAGGCAGCAGUAGGGAAUCUUCGGCAAUGGACGAAAGUCUGACCGAGCAACGCCGCGUGAGUGAAGAAGGUUUUCGGAUCGUAAAACUCUGUUGUUAGAGAAGAAUGUUGAUUAGAGUGGAAAAUUAAUCAAGUGACGGUAUCUAACCAGAAAGGGACGGCUAACUACGUG